RNAcentral lists this ribosomal RNA (253 nucleotides) under uncultured bacterium. RNAcentral's name for it is "partial 16S ribosomal RNA". It matches the Rfam family "Bacterial small subunit ribosomal RNA", at positions 524 to 776 of the family's 1533-position model. The record is from RNAcentral.
UACGUAGGGUGCAAGCGUUAAUCGGAAUUACUGGGCGUAAAGCGUGCGCAGGCGGUUUUGUAAGUUUGUCGUGAAAGCCCCGGGCUCAACCUGGGAAUUGCGAUGAAGACUGCAAGGCUUGAAUCUGGCAGAGGGGGGUAGAAUUCCACGUGUAGCAGUGAAAUGCGUAGAGAUGUGGAGGAACACCGAUGGCGAAGGCAGCCCCUGGGUCAAGAUUGACGCUCGAUGCACGAAAGCGUGGGGAGCAAACAGG